This 224-nucleotide non-coding RNA is filed under the name Oscillospiraceae bacterium. RNAcentral describes it as "6S RNA". It matches the Rfam family "6S / SsrS RNA". From Rfam's summary of the family: E. coli 6S RNA was the first non coding RNA to be sequenced, but its function was unknown until recently. Lineage: Bacteria; Bacillati; Bacillota; Clostridia; Eubacteriales; Oscillospiraceae. The record is from RNAcentral.
UGUUGUCUGCCCGGUUCGCCGACUGACGCUUUUAUAACCCUACAUUUUUUUGAUUUCGGGAACUCGAUGCUCCGACGCAGGAUUGCAGACCUCCCGCCAUGCCCUUGGCGCAUUCGCGCCGACGUGCAGUUGGUGGACGAUGGGAGCGAGAAACCGUCGGGCGGGUACCCACCUGCUUUUUGUGGGCAGGUUAUCAAAAGCUCGAUACGACCGGGCGGGCGCAU